GACGAACGCUGGCGGCGUGCUUAACACAUGCAAGUCGAACGGAAAGGCCCCUUUGGGGGUACUCGAGUGGCGAACGGGUGAGUAACACGUGAGUAACCUGCCCUUGACUUCGGGAUAACUUCAGGAAACUGGGGCUAAUACCUGAUAGGAAUCCUUGCUGCAUGGUGGGGGUUGGAAAGCUUCGGCGGUUUUGGAUGGACUCGCGGCUUAUCAGCUUGUUGGUGGGGUAGUGGCUUACCAAGGCUUUGACGGGUAGCCGGCCUGAGAGGGCGACCGGCCACAUUGGGACUGAGAUACGGCCCAGACUCCUACGGGAGGCAGCAGUGGGGAAUAUUGCACAAUGGGCGGAAGCCUGAUGCAGCAACGCCGCGUGCGGGAUGACGGCCUUCGGGUUGUAAACCGCUUUCAGCAGGGGCGAAGCUUGUGGUGACGGUACCUGCAGAAGAAGCACCGGCUAACUACGUG
This 465-nucleotide ribosomal RNA is filed under the name uncultured bacterium. RNAcentral describes it as "partial 16S ribosomal RNA". It matches the Rfam family "Bacterial small subunit ribosomal RNA", at positions 28 to 507 of the family's 1533-position model. The record is from RNAcentral.